AUUGAACGCUGGCGGCAGGCCUAACACAUGCAAGUCGAGCGAGCGGCGGACGGGUGAGUAAUGUCUGGGAAACUGCCUGAUGGAGGGGGAUAACUACUGGAAACGGUAGCUAAUACCGCAUACCAUCGGAUGUACCCAUAUGGGAUUAGCUGGUAGGUGGGGUAACGGCUCACCUAGGCGACGAUCCCUAGCUGGUCUGAGAGGAUGACCAGCCACACGGGGACGGAGACACGGUCCAGACUCCUACGGGAGGCAGCAGUGGGGAAUAUUGCACAAUGGGCGCAAGCCUGAUGCAGCCAUGCCGCGUGUGUGAAGAAGGCCUUCGGGUUGUAAAGCACUUUCAGUGGGGAGGCGUUACCGGCAGAAGAAGCACCGGCUAACUCCGUGCCAGCAGCCGCGGUAAUAC
RNAcentral lists this ribosomal RNA (406 nucleotides) under uncultured bacterium. RNAcentral describes it as "partial 16S ribosomal RNA". It matches the Rfam family "Bacterial small subunit ribosomal RNA", at positions 30 to 526 of the family's 1533-position model. The record is from RNAcentral.